RNAcentral lists this ribosomal RNA (395 nucleotides) under uncultured eukaryote. Its description in RNAcentral is "bacterial SSU rRNA". It matches the Rfam family "Eukaryotic small subunit ribosomal RNA", at positions 592 to 992 of the family's 1831-position model. The record is from RNAcentral.
CUAAAACGUAUAUUAAAGUUGUUGCGGUUAAAAAGCUCGUAGUUGGAUUUCUGUUGAGAUCGGUCGGUCCCCACUCUGUGGGCGUAUCUGAUAUGGUCUUGGCAUCCUCAUAGGGAACCGGAGGCACUUCACUGUGUGGCCGGGAAUCUAUGACUUUUACUUUGAGGAAAUUAGAGUGUUCAAAGCAGGCGACCGCCUUGAAUACGUUAGCAUGGAAUAAUAAUAUAGGACUUUGGCCCUAUUUUGUUGGUUUCUAGGACUAAAGUAAUGAUUAACAGGGAUAUUUGGGGGCAUUCAUAUUCCAAUGCCAGAGGUGAAAUUCUUGGAUUAUCGGAAGAUGAACUUCUGCGAAAGCAUCUGCCAAGGAUGUUUUCAUUGAUCAAGAACGAAAGUUA